This 1545-nucleotide long non-coding RNA is filed under the name Ovis aries (sheep). Its description in RNAcentral is "lncRNA (ENSOARG00000025479.1)". The record is from RNAcentral. Lineage: Eukaryota; Metazoa; Chordata; Mammalia; Artiodactyla; Bovidae.
CCCGUCCCCAGUCUCCCAGGGGUUCUGGAAUGUUCUGCCAGCGGGCGGGGCCCCCCCAGGGGCUGCAGGGCCGGCGGCGUUGGUGCGGGCGGGGCUUACCUUCUCUGUGUCCUCCUUCUUCACGGACUUGAGGUUGGCGCGCAGGUCCAUGGACACCUUGUGCUUGGAGCCCAGCAGGGCGCGCAGCAUGGCGUCCGCGGAGACGCGCACGCGCCGCAGCGGGGGGCGCUUGAACUUCCCGCGCAGGUCCAGCACCUUGAGCUUCAGGUCUUUGAUCUGUCUGCAGUGUGUGCAGGCACUUGGCCUCGAUGUCGUAGCGCUCCUCGUCCACCACCUCCACUUUGGCAUGCAGGUCACGGCACAGGUCCUGGGGAAGCAGGGAGUCGGGAGGGGAGACUAGGAGAACUCAGCCUUCGAACCUUUUCCUGCCCCUCAGCCUGGGGCCCUUGGCCACCUCCCACCCUCAAGGAGACCUGAAGGGGCUGUUGGACCCCGCACUCUGAAUGGAAGCCCUUUGUUUUCCUUUCUGAAUGUACUUGUUAUCGCCAGAAAGUUUUCUUAUGAUAAAAAGAAUAUGUUAGUUGUAAAAUUUUGAAAACUGUAUUAACCAAAAAUAAUAAAGUAAGAAUAUUUAAUGAGAAAAAAUAAAGUAAGAAUACUGCCACCAACUGGAGGGAACCAUGGAUGACACCCUGAUUCACAGAUUGCUGUUCACUCGCUAAGUCAUGUCUGCUUCUGACCCCGUGGACCGUAGCCUGCCAGACUCCUCUGUCCAUGGGAUUUCCCAGGCAAGGAUGCUGGAGUGGGUUGCCACUUCCUUCUCCAGGGGAUCUUCCUGACCCAGGGAUCGAACCCACAUCUCUUGAGUCUCCUUCAUCAGCAGGCGGAUUCUCCACCACUGCACCACCUGGAAGCCUUGGUUUACCGAUGGUCCCUGGUCUAAGGAUGGUUCAACUUAUGACGGUGGUGGUGAGGCACUGAUGCACAUUCAGCAGAAACCAUCCUUGGAAGUCUGGAUUUUCACCUUCCUCAGGAUGACAUGCGGUGCCAGGCAGGGCAGCCCCAUGCUCACGCAGGGAACCAUCAACACACUCAGAGCCAUUCGUACCAGACAACCACUUCUCAUCUUCAGUGAAUAACAGGAUAUGUUCAACUCUCCAUCAUUAUAUAGGCUUCCUGUUGGCCGAUUUCACCCACCUGUGGGCUGUGUGAGUGCCCUGCACGUGUUAAACUGCGCCAGGCAAGCUGUGAUGUGCGGUGGGUGAGGUGUCGACCACUCACAUUCACACUCGGAUAUCUCACCUGACAGUGGUUUAUCAGUCCAUAGCCAUGGCCUAGUCAAAGGAGAUCUGUUUCCUUCCAGCCCCUUUGCUCUGCAGUCACUGAUAUCUACCCUCUUAUCAAUGUUAGGAAAACUUUAAAGCCGUCUGCAGGGGAAGCCAGGCAAGGCUGGAGAAGGGGCCUCCCCACCGUGCUGCCCACCUGCCUGCUGGGCUCCUUAGGCUGGCCUGCGCCCCCCUCCCCGUCCCUGUGGGGCCCCUCUCU